Molecule: ribosomal RNA, 1394 nt
Filed under: Clavibacter michiganensis subsp. michiganensis
Lineage: Bacteria; Bacillati; Actinomycetota; Actinomycetes; Micrococcales; Microbacteriaceae
Description: 16S ribosomal RNA
Rfam family: Bacterial small subunit ribosomal RNA
Source: RNAcentral
AGUCGAACGGUGAUGUCAGAGCUUGCUCUGGCGGAUCAGUGGCGAACGGGUGAGUAACACGUGAGUAACCUGCCCCCGACUCUGGGAUAACUGCUAGAAAUGGUAGCUAAUACCGGAUAUGACGAUUGGCCGCAUGGUCUGGUCGUGGAAAGAAUUUCGGUUGGGGAUGGACUCGCGGCCUAUCAGGUUGUUGGUGAGGUAAUGGCUCACCAAGCCUACGACGGGUAGCCGGCCUGAGAGGGUGACCGGCCACACUGGGACUGAGACACGGCCCAGACUCCUACGGGAGGCAGCAGUGGGGAAUAUUGCACAAUGGGCGAAAGCCUGAUGCAGCAACGCCGCGUGAGGGAUGACGGCCUUCGGGUUGUAAACCUCUUUUAGUAGGGAAGAAGCGAAAGUGACGGUACCUGCAGAAAAAGCACCGGCUAACUACGUGCCAGCAGCCGCGGUAAUACGUAGGGUGCAAGCGUUGUCCGGGAAUUAUUGGGCGUAAAGAGCUCGUAGGCGGUUUGUCGCGUCUGCUGUGAAAUCCCGAGGCUCAACCUCGGGUCUGCAGUGGGUACGGGCAGACUAGAGUGCGGUAGGGGAGAUUGGAAUUCCUGGUGUAGCGGUGGAAUGCGCAGAUAUCAGGAGGAACACCGAUGGCGAAGGCAGAUCUCUGGGCCGUAACUGACGCUGAGGAGCGAAAGCAUGGGGAGCGAACAGGAUUAGAUACCCUGGUAGUCCAUGCCGUAAACGUUGGGAACUAGAUGUGGGGACCAUUCCACGGUCUCCGUGUCGCAGCUAACGCAUUAAGUUCCCCGCCUGGGGAGUACGGCCGCAAGGCUAAAACUCAAAGGAAUUGACGGGGGCCCGCACAAGCGGCGGAGCAUGCGGAUUAAUUCGAUGCAACGCGAAGAACCUUACCAAGGCUUGACAUAUACCGGAAACAUGCAGAAAUGUGUGCCCCGCAAGGUCGGUAUACAGGUGGUGCAUGGUUGUCGUCAGCUCGUGUCGUGAGAUGUUGGGUUAAGUCCCGCAACGAGCGCAACCCUCGUUCUAUGUUGCCAGCACGUAAUGGUGGGAACUCAUAGGAGACUGCCGGGGUCAACUCGGAGGAAGGUGGGGAUGACGUCAAAUCAUCAUGCCCCUUAUGUCUUGGGCUUCACGCAUGCUACAAUGGCCGGUACAAAGGGCUGCGAUACCGUAAGGUGGAGCGAAUCCCAAAAAGCCGGUCUCAGUUCGGAUUGAGGUCUGCAACUCGACCUCAUGAAGUCGGAGUCGCUAGUAAUCGCAGAUCAGCAACGCUGCGGUGAAUACGUUCCCGGGCCUUGUACACACCGCCCGUCAAGUCAUGAAAGUCGGUAACACCCGAAGCCAGUGGCCUAACCGCAAGGGAGGAGCUUCGAAGGUGG